UACAGAGGUCUCGAGCGUUUGUUCGGAUUCAUUGGGCGUAAAGGGUGCGUAGGUGGCGCUGUAAGUCGGGUGUGAAAUCCUGAGGCUUAACCUCGGAACUGCAUUCGAUACUGCGGCGCUUGAGGACUGGAGAGGAGACUGGAAUUCAUGGUGUAGCAGUGAAAUGCGUAGAGAUCAUGAGGAAGACCAGUGGCGAAGGCGGGUCUCUGGACAGUUCCUGACACUGAGGCACGAAGGCCAGGGGAGCAAACGGG
Molecule: ribosomal RNA, 254 nt
Filed under: uncultured bacterium
Lineage: Bacteria
Description: partial 16S ribosomal RNA
Rfam family: Bacterial small subunit ribosomal RNA
Source: RNAcentral